UACGUAGGGUGCAAGCGUUAAUCGGAAUUACUGGGCGUAAAGCGUGCGCAGGCGGUUUUUUAAGUCUGACGUUAAAGCCCCGGGCUUAACCUGGGAAUUGCGUUGGAGACUGCAAGGCUUGAAUCUGGCAGAGGGGGGUAGAAUUCCACGUGUAGCAGUGAAAUGCGUAGAGAUGUGGAGGAACACCGAUGGCGAAGGCAGCCCCCUGGGUCAAGAUUGACGCUCAUGCACGAAAGCGUGGGGAGCAAACAGG
Molecule: ribosomal RNA, 253 nt
Filed under: uncultured bacterium
Lineage: Bacteria
Description: partial 16S ribosomal RNA
Rfam family: Bacterial small subunit ribosomal RNA
Source: RNAcentral